RNAcentral lists this unclassified non-coding RNA (253 nucleotides) under Hevea brasiliensis (rubber tree). Lineage: Eukaryota; Viridiplantae; Streptophyta; Magnoliopsida; Malpighiales; Euphorbiaceae. The record is from RNAcentral.
GGAAGAUGGUCAUGGGGAUUGGUGUACUUGUCUAGAGAAGUAUACGCUCUGCCGGGAUGGUAUAUACCAUAAGCAAGACCAAUUUGGUCGGCUACUUCCAACCUUCAUUCAGGUCAUUGAUUUUACAGAGCAGGAAGAAUUUGAGUAUUGGGCCAUAAUGUCUGCCAUUUCUGAGGGAAAACAGAUUGACACUGCUACAUCUAGGACAAGUUCAGACUCAGUCACAUCAAUCUCCACCGACGCUAGCAUCAAU